Molecule: small nucleolar RNA, 130 nt
Organism: Sciurus vulgaris (Eurasian red squirrel)
Lineage: Eukaryota; Metazoa; Chordata; Mammalia; Rodentia; Sciuridae
Gene: SNORA70
Rfam family: Small nucleolar RNA SNORA70
About the family: snoRNA U70 seems to be exclusive to mammals and is a member of the H/ACA class of snoRNA which contain H (ANANNA) and ACA box motifs. H/ACA box snoRNAs are involved in the conversion of uridines to pseudouridines (5-ribosyluracil) a constituent of structural RNAs (transfer, ribosomal, small nuclear, and small nucleolar).
Source: Ensembl
CUGCAACCAGUAAAGCCAGCCAGGCUCCCCGCCUAAUAGGGGCUCAGUGUGUGAUGACUGCAAAUAGCAGCCCCCUUGGCAGGGUGCCAGCCUGUUGGUAUGAGUUGCCCUAAGGGCUUUGGAGACAGCC